RNAcentral lists this ribosomal RNA (253 nucleotides) under uncultured bacterium. RNAcentral describes it as "partial 16S ribosomal RNA". It matches the Rfam family "Bacterial small subunit ribosomal RNA", at positions 524 to 776 of the family's 1533-position model. The record is from RNAcentral.
UACGAGGGGUGCAAACGUUAUUCGGAAUUACUGGGUGUAAAGGGUACGUAGACGGCAUAUUAAGUCAGUUGUUAAAUUCCCCAGCUUAACUGGGGGUAGGCGAUUGAAACUGAUAAGCUAGAGGAUGAGAGAGAGAAGUGGAAUUCUCGGAGUAGCGGUAAAAUGCGUAGAUCUCGAGAGGAACACCGAUGGCGAAGGCAGCUUCUUGGCUCAUUUCUGACGUUGAGGUACGAAAGCGUGGGGAGCAAACAGG